RNAcentral lists this transfer RNA (82 nucleotides) under Treponema sp. RNAcentral describes it as "tRNA-Tyr". It matches the Rfam family "tRNA". From Rfam's summary of the family: Transfer RNA (tRNA) molecules are approximately 80 nucleotides in length. Their secondary structure includes four short double-helical elements and three loops (D, anti-codon, and T loops). Further hydrogen bonds mediate the characteristic L-shaped molecular structure. tRNAs have two regions of fundamental functional importance: the anti-codon, which is responsible for specific mRNA codon recognition, and the 3' end, to which the tRNAs corresponding amino acid is attached (by aminoacyl-tRNA synthetases). tRNAs cope with the degeneracy of the genetic code in two manners: having more than one tRNA (with a specific anti-codon) for a particular amino acid; and 'wobble' base-pairing, i.e. permitting non-standard base-pairing at the 3rd anti-codon position. The record is from RNAcentral. Lineage: Bacteria; Pseudomonadati; Spirochaetota; Spirochaetia; Treponematales; Treponemataceae.
GGGGAGUUUCCAGAGCGGUCAAAUGGGGCAGACUGUAAAUCUGUUGGCUCAGCCUUCGGAGGUUCAAAUCCUUCACUCCCCA